GGAAGCUUUAACCGAACCGGAUAACAAG
RNAcentral lists this non-coding RNA (28 nucleotides) under Bombyx mori (domestic silkworm). The record is from RNAcentral. Lineage: Eukaryota; Metazoa; Arthropoda; Insecta; Lepidoptera; Bombycidae.